Molecule: long non-coding RNA, 3051 nt
Filed under: Medicago truncatula (barrel medic)
Lineage: Eukaryota; Viridiplantae; Streptophyta; Magnoliopsida; Fabales; Fabaceae
Description: long non-coding RNA (MTRU_LNC002911)
Source: RNAcentral
UUCAUUCAUUCCUUUUCAUUUCACUAAGUUAGAGAGAGGUAGAGAGAGAAGUGAGAGGUGAAGGAAGAACAAGGGUUAGAGAAAGGGAGAAACUUGAAGAUUGAAGCAAUUAGGAGCUAAAGUGAAGCCCAAGUUUGAAUUGAUCAUAACCUAAGGUAAGGGGGUUAGUCUUCAUCAUAAUCAUAAUUGUUUGUUUGCAAUUUUUCUUGGUUUGUAUGAAAAAGUGCUUAAUUGAGUGAGAAUUCAUAUGAACCCAAUCUCUAAUUUUCGUGCUCUUGUUUUGGUGAUAAGAUUGAGUAUGUUAAUUGAAUGAUAAAUGAAUUGUUGGUGAUGAAAUAACAUGUUCAUAAUGUAUGAAAAUGGGUUGUUGUGAAAUUAUGCUUAAUUGAUGACUUAUGACAUGUUGUUGUUGAAUUAAGGUGAGAAUCAAGUUUCGAUUGAUGUUGUUGUUGCUGAGACAUAUUGUUGUUUAUGAUUUAUGGCUUGGGUGUUCAUAUAUCAUGAUUGUUUGUGAGAAAUAAGAUGUUGUUGGUGGUUUUGUGAAAUUGGUGAAGUUGAGUUAAGUGUUCAUGUGAAGGACCAAAAUGAACUUUUGAUAUAUAUGGUUGUUGAUUGAAAUUUUGUUAUUGUUGGAUGAAUUGAACCUAGGAGAAUUUCUGUUUUCAUGUUGUGGUUAUGUUAGUUGAGUUGUUUGGGAGAAAACGGGUUUUUCGUGUGAAAUGUUGAUGUUUAAGCAUUUUCGCCAAUAAGUGAUUGUGUGAGGUUUUGGAAAAUGACUUUUGGGAUGGUUGAAACAUGAAAUUUUUGUAGAUUAUGAUAGUGCCAAGUGUUAGGAGCAUGUAGGCGAAAACGGCGUCGAAAACGGAUUAACGGUUUGAUUUUUAUGCGCGAAAAAGUAGAAGUUGAAUUUUUGCAUAGUCUGCUACUGUCAAAAUCAUGAAGCGAUCUUACAAAUCGUGAGGUGAUUUUGACAGAAACAAUAAAUUUUCUGCAUAGCCUGAUGUUGUCGAAUCAUGAAGCGAUUUCGCAAAUCAUGAGGUGAUUUUGACAGCAACAUCAAAUUUUUCUACUCAGUCUGAUGCUGUCAAAAUCAUGAAACAAUCUUACGAGUCAUGAAGCGAUUUGGCAGACUAGAAACCUUAAAAAUGCAAUUUUCUUUGAUCCAAUUGUUUCCAAACUUAUUUCUAUGUAUAGGGACUUUAUCCUAAUCAUCUAGGGAUGUUUUUAUGGAAGAAAUAGCUUCGUAUUAAGGGCUUAGUGAGUCCUUUUGUUUUCUUGACUUUAAUGAAACAUUAUGAUAUGAAUCUUUGCAAAACUUGAAUUUAAGUGAGUUGGCCUAUGAAACGUUGAUGUAUACACUACUGCACUCAUAUGUGAUUUGUGUAUAUACAUGGUUGAGGUCCUAGAGUUUAUUUAUUUGGUUUUAGUUCAUUUGUUCUAAUCAUGUAAAAGGUGAUAUUUCGGAUGGGAAUGUGAAAAGUUGUGAAAUGGGGUUUUCAUACGAACUUAAGUUGUUCUUGGAUUAAUGUUUAAUGGUCCGGAGGCAACUUAAAUUCAUGAAUACAUGAUUGGUUAAGGUUGCUUGAGAACUCUCAACUUGUCUAUGUUGUUUUGUCUUGGGAAUUGUCAAUGUUGGCCGUUUGCCACUUGACACGGUCUUUGGUCGGAAAUGUUUCUUGAACUAAUUGUCUUAUGAAUUGUGGUGACUAUUCUUAUAUGGCUAAGUGAAGUUGUAUGAAUGAAUGAUUGUAUUGGAUAUGAUGUUUAUCAUGAGAUAUGUAUGUGAUCUUACUUAGAAUGUAAGGAAUGCUUGAAUGGUGAAACUAUAUGUGAUAGUUGAUGUUGAAUGGUUAUAUGUUGGAUAUGAUAUUUGUCAUGAAAUGUUGUAUGUUCUCUUACUUGGAAUAUGAGAAUUGUUUGGAAUGGUGAAACUAUAUGAUAUAGUUGAUGUUGAAUGACAUUGUUGAUUAUUGAUAAUCAUGUUGAUGUGUGAUGGUGAAUACUAUGAUUUAAUUGUGUGUGGGCAUGUUUUCUUGGUAAUGCAAUGUUGUGGAGAUAAUCAAUAUAAUUGGGUGUUGUCCUAUAUAUUGAGUUGAGAUUGAGAAUUGUUGUCGCAUUAUCGAGUCAUUACACAUGUCCAUGCAUCAUAGUCGUUGUUGCUGUAAAAGGGAUAACUCUUUUACUUCGAGAUUAUUGUAAGGCAGAGGUGAGCCUUACAUACGAUGUGCAAGUGGCAUCGAAAGGUGACGACCUUGUUGAGAUUUGGUACCACAUGCAUCUAUGUGUUAAUAAGUGCAUAUCAUAACAUGAGUCUUAUGUGAAAUAUCUGAUUGGUGAUGAAAUGAGAUGAAUGAUUAUUGAUGAUGUUUGUGAUUGAUGAUUGUGAAUGAAUAUUUGUGAAUUGAUAUUUGUUCCUGAUACAUGUGAUUGGUGAUUGUUCAUGAAAUAUGAUUAAUGACUGUUCAUGAUGUAUAUGAUUGGUGAUUGUGUAUGAAUAACUGUGAAUUGAUCUUUGUUCAUGACACAUGUGAUUGGUGAUUAUUGAUGCGAGAUAUUGGGAUGUGAUGUAAGUAUUAAUGUGUGAUUAUUAUUGAUCAAAUGCAUGAUGUUUAUCUUGAAAUAUUCAUGUUACCUGUUAUUUGGAUUAUGAUAAUGUAAUACUUACCCCCAGUGGAUCUGUUAUGGACCGCCUGCCUAUCUGUAUGGAUGGGUAGACGUUGUGCAGGUUUAGUUGCUUGGUGAGUUAUUGUGCUUGGUGGAUAUCUGGAGCUUUCUCCGAUAUCGGUGUUUAGAAUUAGUCGGCUCUGAUCUAGGCUUCGUUGUGUCGGUCUAGAUUAGGUUAUCUUUGGUUUUGUUAUGUUUGGAGAUUACCCGUUUGUUGGGAUUUUUGAGAUGCAUCUAUGUUGAUGUAAUUUAUUUAUUCUUAACAUGUAUAUUUGAAUUUACUCUAGUUUAUAUUCCGCUGCGACUGUUGAGGUUUAUAUACAUGUUUAUUGGUUUUUGAAUUUUGAAUGUGGCGUAGCCUCUAUUUCUUGAAUAAAUGUAUUAUUC